GACGAACGCUGGCGGCGUGCUUAACACAUGCAAGUCGAACGGAAAGACCCUGCUUUUGUGGGGUGCUCGAGUGGCGAACGGGUGAGUAACACGUGAGUAACCUGCCCUUGACUUUGGGAUAACUUCAGGAAACUGGGGCUAAUACCGGAUAGGAGCUCCUGCUGCAUGGUGGGGGUUGGAAAGUUUCGGCGGUUGGGGCUGGUCUGGCGGCUUAUCAGCUUGUUGGUGGGGUAGUGGCAUUCCAAGGCUUUGACGGGUAGCCGGCCUGAGAGGGUGACCGGCCACAUUAGUACUGAGAUACGGCGCAGAAGCCUACGGGAGGCAGCAGUGGGGAAUAUUGCACAAUGGGCGGAAGCCUGAUGCAGCAGCGCCGCGUGCGUGAUGACGGGCUUCGGGUUGUGAACAGCUUUCGCCUGAGACGAAGCGUGAGUGACGGUAAUGGGUAAAGAAGCACCGGCUAACUACGUG
RNAcentral lists this ribosomal RNA (468 nucleotides) under uncultured bacterium. RNAcentral's name for it is "partial 16S ribosomal RNA". It matches the Rfam family "Bacterial small subunit ribosomal RNA", at positions 28 to 507 of the family's 1533-position model. The record is from RNAcentral.